UGCGAGUCUGCGGUCGCGCCUGCUUCGACGUCGGCGCCGGUUUGACAAUCCGUGUCUGUGAAUUCCUCUAGGAUGAGGCCUUUCUCUCCUUUUUCGAUUUGGCUUUGUUGUACUCCAAAAGCGUACUAUAUGCUAGUACUUCAUCAAACUGAUUUGUACCAACGUGUUUGCUUCAUGAAAAAAGCGUUGUCGGCUGGUUCUAAGCUGCUGAUGUAUCAGACUUUGUACUUUGGAAUUUUCCGUUCGCAUACGGAUUUUGCCAUGAUGAUAAUCACCUUCAAUCUGAUUGUUAAAGUUGAGGUGCUCCUGUUGCAGUGUACGGAAUGGUCGCGUCGGGACAACCCUUCCAUAACAAUCUUCUGAGCACGUAUUUUUGUAUGCCACUGCUGAAACUUUUUCGUCUUGACUGAUGAGGAGUUGAUGUGGAUUCCUGUGUGAUGAUUCUUCUUCAUCUCAACAAUCAAGAGUUUCUUGGUCCCUGAAGAAUUUCCUCCAAGAACAACAAUGCCGUGUGUGGCCGUACGGUGGGCAUAAACUGUCGUGAUUUUGUCACUUUAAGAUGUCCUUGUGAGAGGACUUAGGUGUGAGGCCAUCGUAACUAGGUGGGAGCUUGAGAGGGGUUGGUCGGAAUCGAGAGAUGCGGGUUUACCCAGGUUCGGCCCCUCCGAUGGAGGUAAAAACCUACGUCCUGCUUUGUAUGUGAUGAUCUCGGUUACAAGGGUGACGAAUCGCUACCUCUGGUCUCGAGGGUUUCUGAUG
Molecule: long non-coding RNA, 759 nt
Filed under: Hordeum vulgare
Lineage: Eukaryota; Viridiplantae; Streptophyta; Magnoliopsida; Poales; Poaceae
Description: long non-coding RNA (HVUL_LNC009210)
Source: RNAcentral